RNAcentral lists this ribosomal RNA (492 nucleotides) under uncultured bacterium. Its description in RNAcentral is "partial 16S ribosomal RNA". It matches the Rfam family "Bacterial small subunit ribosomal RNA", at positions 29 to 507 of the family's 1533-position model. The record is from RNAcentral.
AGUGAACGCUGGCGGUAGGCCUAACACAUGCAAGUCGAACGGCAGCACAGUAGGAGCUUGCUCUUACGGGUGGCGAGUGGCGGACGGGUGAGGAAUACAUCGGAAUCUACUUUUUCGUGGGGGAUAACGUAGAGAAACUUACGCUAAUACCGCAUACGACCUACGGGUGAAAGCAGGGGAUCUUCGGACCUUGCGCGAUUGAAUGAGCCGAUGUCGGAUUAGCUAGUUGGCGGGGUAAAGGCCCACCAAGGCGACGAUCCGUAGCUGGUCUGAGAGGAUGAUCAGCCACACUGGAACUGAGACACGGUCCAGACUCCUACGGGAGGCAGCAGUGGGGAAUAUUGGACAAUGGGCGCAAGCCUGAUCCAGCCAUACCGCGUGGGUGAAGAAGGCCUUCGGGUUGUAAAGCCCUUUUGCUGGGAAAGAAAAGCAGCAGGUUAAUACCCCGCUGUUCUGACGGUACCCAAAGAAUAAGCACCGGCUAACUUCGUG